RNAcentral lists this ribosomal RNA (738 nucleotides) under Bacillus spizizenii. RNAcentral describes it as "bacterial SSU rRNA". It matches the Rfam family "Bacterial small subunit ribosomal RNA", at positions 76 to 798 of the family's 1533-position model. Lineage: Bacteria; Bacillati; Bacillota; Bacilli; Caryophanales; Bacillaceae. The record is from RNAcentral.
GAGCUUGCUCCCUGAUGUUAGCGGCGGACGGGUGAGUAACACGUGGGUAACCUGCCUGUAAGACUGGGAUAACUCCGGGAAACCGGGGCUAAUACCGGAUGCUUGUUUGAACCGCAUGGUUCAAACAUAAAAGGUGGCUUCGGCUACCACUUACAGAUGGACCCGCGGCGCAUUAGCUAGUUGGUGAGGUAAUGGCUCACCAAGGCAACGAUGCGUAGCCGACCUGAGAGGGUGAUCGGCCACACUGGGACUGAGACACGGCCCAGACUCCUACGGGAGGCAGCAGUAGGGAAUCUUCCGCAAUGGACGAAAGUCUGACGGAGCAACGCCGCGUGAGUGAUGAAGGUUUUCGGAUCGUAAAGCUCUGUUGUUAGGGAAGAACAAGUACCGUUCGAAUAGGGCGGUACCUUGACGGUACCUAACCAGAAAGCCACGGCUAACUACGUGCCAGCAGCCGCGGUAAUACGUAGGUGGCAAGCGUUGUCCGGAAUUAUUGGGCGUAAAGGGCUCGCAGGCGGUUUCUUAAGUCUGAUGUGAAAGCCCCCGGCUCAACCGGGGAGGGUCAUUGGAAACUGGGGAACUUGAGUGCAGAAGAGGAGAGUGGAAUUCCACGUGUAGCGGUGAAAUGCGUAGAGAUGUGGAGGAACACCAGUGGCGAAGGCGACUCUCUGGUCUGUAACUGACGCUGAGGAGCGAAAGCGUGGGGAGCGAACAGGAUUAGAUACCCUGGUAGUCCAC